RNAcentral lists this ribosomal RNA (331 nucleotides) under uncultured bacterium. Its description in RNAcentral is "bacterial SSU rRNA". It matches the Rfam family "Bacterial small subunit ribosomal RNA", at positions 568 to 898 of the family's 1533-position model. The record is from RNAcentral.
CGCGUAGGCGGGGCCUUAUGUCGGAGGUGAAAUCGCUGGGCUCAACCCAGCAACUGCCUCCGAAACUGGGGCUCUUGAGUGCAGGAGAGGGGAGCGGAAUUGCUGGUGUAGCGGUGAAAUGCGUAGAGAUCAGCAGGAACACCCGUGGCGAAGGCGGCUCCCUGGACUGUAACUGACGCUGAGGCGCGAAAGCUAGGGGAGCGAACGGGAUUAGAUACCCCGGUAGUCCUAGCCGUAAACGAUGGUCACUAGGUGUUGGGGGUAUCGACCCCCCCAGUGCCGAAGCUAACGUGUUAAGUGACCCGCCUGGGAGUACGGCCGCAAGGCUGAA